RNAcentral lists this ribosomal RNA (231 nucleotides) under uncultured bacterium. Its description in RNAcentral is "partial 16S ribosomal RNA". It matches the Rfam family "Bacterial small subunit ribosomal RNA", at positions 118 to 348 of the family's 1533-position model. The record is from RNAcentral.
UGAGGAAUCUGUCCAUAGGCGGGGGAUAGCCGGCCCAACGGCCGGGUAAUACCGCGUACGUCGGCGGGAGCGCAUGCUCCUGCCGGGAAAGCAGCAAUGCACCGAUGGAGGACCUCGCGGCCUAUCAGCUUGUUGGCGGGGUAAUGGCCCACCAAGGCGACGACGGGUAGCUGGUCUGAGAGGACGAUCAGCCACACUGGAACUGAGACACGGUCCAGACUCCGUAGGAGG